CUCUCUGCUGCAGAAGGAGGGAAGUUCCUUUGGGCAGAUUGUCUGGUGUCAGAGGUGGGCUUGUGUGGAGACUCUGUCCUGCUGGUGUGGAGACUCUGUCCUGAUGUCUCUUUCUUCUUUGUCUUUAAGUAGUUUAUGUGCUCAUAGCAGGACUCAACGUAGGAGCUACUCUGGCGCAUCCAUGCAAGGGGUGACCAAAUGUAUCUCUGCUCGAAUGCUGGGAUGUUUGCGAACACAACUGCUGUGAACAAACUGACAAAAAUUGCUGAUCCUCACCCCUAUUUAUGGAAAAAGAAGGAUCAAAGCUUCUAAGAUGUCUUUGUGACAUCAUCAUUCUGUAAGCCAAUGAGAUUCUCACAUGAAAUUUAUGAAUGAGAAUGUUUUUUUUUAAACUGUUUUCAAAUUUAAUAUGUCAGUUUUUCUUAGGCUACAUUCAAUGAUGAUGCAGCCUUGACAUGAGGUUUGGCAGGUUGCUGGAAACAGUGAACACCUCAGACACGCAGCCUGCCAUGGACAGCAGAGAGAUGAUCAGAAGAACGGGUUUACAAUCAGCGACAUGCUUUUUUUUUUUUUUUUUUUUUUUUUUAACCCGACCUGUUCAUAUUGCGGCAUCUUGAAUGAUGAACGCUUUAUGAGGAAAUGAUGUGGGGCAUGAGUACGAUGAACCUUCACUCAGACAACUCCCCGUCGCAGUGUUUGGGUCACACUUAGUCACAUUAAAUCUGUUUUUCAGGAUUAAAGCUUUAACUUGAA
Molecule: long non-coding RNA, 753 nt
Organism: Oreochromis aureus
Lineage: Eukaryota; Metazoa; Chordata; Actinopteri; Cichliformes; Cichlidae
Exons: 2
Source: RefSeq, a predicted model, not a curated record